GCCUACUUGGUGAAAUUGGUAAACACGAUAGAUUUAAAAUCUGUUCCUAUUCAAAGGUUAUUGGUUCAAGUCCAAUAGUAGGUA
RNAcentral lists this transfer RNA (84 nucleotides) under Phytophthora citrophthora. RNAcentral's name for it is "tRNA-Leu". It matches the Rfam family "tRNA". From Rfam's summary of the family: Transfer RNA (tRNA) molecules are approximately 80 nucleotides in length. Lineage: Eukaryota; Oomycota; Peronosporomycetes; Peronosporales; Peronosporaceae. The record is from RNAcentral. RNAcentral also lists the same sequence under 4 other names.